RNAcentral lists this ribosomal RNA (296 nucleotides) under Laribacter hongkongensis. Its description in RNAcentral is "partial 16S ribosomal RNA". It matches the Rfam family "Bacterial small subunit ribosomal RNA", at positions 1002 to 1299 of the family's 1533-position model. The record is from RNAcentral. Lineage: Bacteria; Pseudomonadati; Pseudomonadota; Betaproteobacteria; Neisseriales; Aquaspirillaceae.
AGAUUUGAGGGUGCCCGAAAGGGAGCGGUAACACAGGUGCUGCAUGGCUGUCGUCAGCUCGUGUCGUGAGAUGUUGGGUUAAGUCCCGCAACGAGCGCAACCCUUGUCAUUAGUUGCCAGCAUUAAGUUGGGCACUCUAAUGAGACUACCGGUGACAAACCGGAGGAAGGUGGGGAUGACGUCAAGUCCUCAUGGCCCUUAUGACCAGGGCUUCACACGUCAUACAAUGGUCGGUACAGAGGGUCGCUAAGCCGCGAGGUAGUGCCAAUCUCAUAAAACCGAUCGUAGUCCGGAUC